RNAcentral lists this ribosomal RNA (256 nucleotides) under uncultured bacterium. RNAcentral describes it as "partial 16S ribosomal RNA". It matches the Rfam family "Bacterial small subunit ribosomal RNA", at positions 524 to 776 of the family's 1533-position model. The record is from RNAcentral.
UACGUAGGGACCAAGCGUUGUUCGGAUUUACUGGGCGUAAAGGGCGCGUGAGGCGGCGGUGGUAAGUCACAUUGUGAAAUCUCUGAGCUUAACUCAGAACGGCCAAGUGAUACUGCUGUGCUAGAGUGCAGAAGGGGCAAUCGGAAUUCUUGGUGUAGCGGUGAAAUGCGUAGAUAUCAAGAGGAACACCUGAGGUGAAGACGGGUUGCUGGGCUGACACUGACGCUGAGGCGCGAAAGCCAGGGGAGCAAACAGG